This 1915-nucleotide ribosomal RNA is filed under the name Salmonella enterica subsp. enterica serovar Stanley. RNAcentral's name for it is "partial 23S ribosomal RNA". It matches the Rfam family "Bacterial large subunit ribosomal RNA", at positions 422 to 2236 of the family's 2925-position model. Lineage: Bacteria; Pseudomonadati; Pseudomonadota; Gammaproteobacteria; Enterobacterales; Enterobacteriaceae. The record is from RNAcentral.
ACACGUGGUAUCCUGUCUGAAUAUGGGGGGACCAUCCUCCAAGGCUAAAUACUCCUGACUGACCGAUAGUGAACCAGUACCGUGAGGGAAAGGCGAAAAGAACCCCGGCGAGGGGAGUGAAAAAGAACCUGAAACCGUGUACGUACAAGCAGUGGGAGCACCCUUCGGGGUGUGACUGCGUACCUUUUGUAUAAUGGGUCAGCGACUUAUAUUCUGUAGCAAGGUUAACCGAAUAGGGGAGCCGGAGGGAAACCGAGUCUUAAUUGGGCGUUAAGUUGCAGGGUAUAGACCCGAAACCCGGUGAUCUAGCCAUGGGCAGGUUGAAGGUUGGGUAACACUAACUGGAGGACCGAACCGACUAAUGUUGAAAAAUUAGCGGAUGACCUGUGGCUGGGGGUGAAAGGCCAAUCAAACCGGGAGAUAGCUGGUUCUCCCCGAAAGCUAUUUAGGUAGCGCCUCGUGAAUUCAUCUCCGGGGGUAGAGCACUGUUUCGGCUAGGGGGCCAUCCCGGCUUACCAACCCGAUGCAAACUGCGAAUACCGGAGAAUGUUAUCACGGGAGACACACGGCGGGUGCUAACGUCCGUCGUGAAGAGGGAAACAACCCAGACCGCCAGCUAAGGUCCCAAAGUCAUGGUUAAGUGGGAAACGAUGUGGGAAGGCCCAGACAGCCAGGAUGUUGGCUUAGAAGCAGCCAUCAUUUAAAGAAAGCGUAAUAGCUCACUGGUCGAGUCGGCCUGCGCGGAAGAUGUAACGGGGCUAAACCAUGCACCGAAGCUGCGGCAGCGAACGUAUCACCCAAGACAACUUUACGGAGUUGACGAUUGACGGAGCGAAGCGACGUCAAAGCGUUCAUUAAAGUCGAGUUGGCUUAGGGAUACGUUCGUUGGGUAGGGGAGCGUUCUGUAAGCCGUUGAAGGUGUGUCGUGAGGCAUGCUGGAGGUAUCAGAAGUGCGAAUGCUGACAUAAGUAACGAUAAAGCGGGUGAAAAGCCCGCUCGCCGGAAGACCAAGGGUUCCUGUCCAACGUUAAUCGGGGCAGGGUGAGUCGACCCCUAAGGCGAGGCCGAAAGGCGUAGUCGAUGGGAAACGGGUUAAUAUUCCCGUACUUGGUGUUACUGCGAAGGGGGGACGGAGAAGGCUAUGUUGGCCGGGCGACGGUUGUCCCGGUUUAAGCGUGUAGGUGUGUGUUCCAGGUAAAUCCGGUUCACUUUAACACUGAGGCGUGACGACGAGGCACUACGGUGCUGAAGCAACAAAUGCCCUGCUUCCAGGAAAAGCCUCUAAGCAUCAGGUAACAUCAAAUCGUACCCCAAACCGACACAGGUGGUCAGGUAGAGAAUACCAAGGCGCUUGAGAGAACUCGGGUGAAGGAACUAGGCAAAAUGGUGCCGUAACUUCGGGAGAAGGCACGCUGACACGUAGGUGAAGUGAUUUACUCAUGGAGCUGAAGUCAGUCGAAGAUACCAGCUGGCUGCAACUGUUUAUUAAAAACACAGCACUGUGCAAACACGAAAGUGGACGUAUACGGUGUGACGCCUGCCCGGUGCCGGAAGGUUAAUUGAUGGGGUCAGCGCAAGCGAAGCUCCUGAUCGAAGCCCCGGUAAACGGCGGCCGUAACUAUAACGGUCCUAAGGUAGCGAAAUUCCUUGUCGGGUAAGUUCCGACCUGCACGAAUGGCGUAAUGAUGGCCAGGCUGUCUCCACCCGAGACUCAGUGAAAUUGAACUCGCUGUGAAGAUGCAGUGUACCCGCGGCAAGACGGAAAGACCCCGUGAACCUUUACUAUAGCUUGACACUGAACAUUGAGCCUUGAUGUGUAGGAUAGGUGGGAGGCUUUGAAGCGUGGACGCCAGUCUGCGUGGAGCCGACCUUGAAAUACCACCCUUUAAUGUUUGAUGUUCUAACGUGGACCCGU